CAGCAGCCACGGUAAUACGUAGGGCGCAAGCGUUAUCCGGAAUUAUUGGGCGUAAAGAGCUCGUAGGCGGUUUGUCGCGUCUGCCGUGAAAGUCCGGGGCUCAACCCCGGAUCUGCGGUGGGUACGGGCAGACUAGAGUGAUGUAGGGGAGACUGGAAUUCCUGGUGUAGCGGUGAAAUGCGCAGAUAUCAGGAGGAACACCGAUGGCGAAGGCAGGUCUCUGGGCAUUAACUGACGCUGAGGAGCGAAAGCAUGGGGAGCGAACAGGAUUAGAUACCCCAGUAGUCCCUGUCUCUUAUAC
Molecule: ribosomal RNA, 301 nt
Filed under: uncultured bacterium
Lineage: Bacteria
Description: partial 16S ribosomal RNA
Rfam family: Bacterial small subunit ribosomal RNA
Source: RNAcentral